Molecule: ribosomal RNA, 240 nt
Filed under: Enterobacter sp.
Lineage: Bacteria; Pseudomonadati; Pseudomonadota; Gammaproteobacteria; Enterobacterales; Enterobacteriaceae
Description: partial 16S ribosomal RNA
Rfam family: Bacterial small subunit ribosomal RNA
Source: RNAcentral
AUUGAACGCUGGCGGCAGGCCUAACACAUGCAAGUCGAACGGUAACAGGGAGCAGCUUGCUGCUCUGCUGACGAGUGGCGGACGGGUGAGUAAUGUCUGGGAAACUGCCUGAUGGAGGGGGAUAACUACUGGAAACGGUAGCUAAUACCGCAUAACGUCUACGGACCAAAGUGGGGGACCUUCGGGCCUCAUGCCAUCAGAUGUGCCCAGAUGGGAUUAGCUAGUAGGUGGGGUAACGGC